RNAcentral lists this long non-coding RNA (432 nucleotides) under Panax ginseng (ginseng). RNAcentral describes it as "long non-coding RNA (PGIN_LNC010128)". Lineage: Eukaryota; Viridiplantae; Streptophyta; Magnoliopsida; Apiales; Araliaceae. The record is from RNAcentral.
UCUGGCUUAGAUCCUCGUUGGUACUAAGGUAUGUAUGAUUUUGCUUUUAAAAACUCUUCCCUCUUCAGUUUAGCAAGAUUGGAACUAAAAUCUAGGAUUUUUUUAAACUGAUUGUUCUUUGUGUCGAUUUUUAAAAAGACGAUUUAGCAGGCGAAUUAUCUGAGUUACCGUCUUCUUCCAUGCCCAAGACAUGAAGCUGUGGAACCAAGAACCAACCAACCCUAUAAACUUCUUCGGCAACAUCAGCCACUGCCACCCUAAUUCUUGCCUAAAAAUUUACAUCAGAGAAAUUAAGAUUGAGCUAAAGAACGACGCUCUUCUUACGGUCAUUAAGAUCUAUAAUGGGGUGGGUUUGAUUUAGAAAAAGAAUUAAGAUGAAGAACGACAUCGAAAAAAUUAAGAUCGAGAUGACCUGAUCGAGAAGAAGAUGGA